AACGCGAAGAACCUUACCUGGCCUUGACAUGUCUGGAAUCCUGCAGAGAUGCGGGAGUGCCUUCGGGAAUCAGAACACAGGUGCUGCAUGGCUGUCGUCAGCUCGUGUCGUGAGAUGUUGGGUUAAGUCCCGCAACGAGCGCAACCCUUGUCCUUAGUUGCCAGCACGUAAUGGUGGGAACUCUAAGGAGACUGCCGGUGACAAACCGGAGGAAGGUGGGGAUGACGUCAAGUCCUCAUGGCCCUUACGGCCAGGGCUACACACGUACUACAAUGGUCGGUACAGAGGGUUGCGAAGCCGCGAGGUGGAGCCAAUCCCAGAAAGCCGAUCCCAGUCCGGAUCGAAGUCUGCAACUCGACUUCGUGAAGUCGGAAUCGCUAGUAAUCGCGGAUCAGCUAUGCCGCGGUGAAUACGUUCCCGGGUCUUGUACACACCG
RNAcentral lists this ribosomal RNA (436 nucleotides) under uncultured bacterium. RNAcentral describes it as "bacterial SSU rRNA". It matches the Rfam family "Bacterial small subunit ribosomal RNA", at positions 958 to 1392 of the family's 1533-position model. The record is from RNAcentral.